GAGAGUUAAAUAGUACGUGAAAUUGUUGAAAGGGAAACGAUUGAAGUCAGUCAUGCUAGUGAAAAAUCAGUUUGACGGGUUUUGAGUUCGGGAGUAGAGGCAGGGUCAAACCGUUUCUCUUUUGGACUUGGGAUUUGUCGGAUGUACUUUUUCUUUGGCAGGUCAGCGUCGGUUUCGGAGGUUGUAAAAUACUUGGGGGAAAGUAGCUCUGCUUCGGGAGAGUAUUAUAGACCCUGGGGGAUGCAGCCUGUGGGAUCGAGGAUUGCAGCAAAUGCCUUUGGCUUGUCGCCUGAUCUCUGGAUGUUACCUUGCUUGUGACAACAUUCUUGCCACCGGUGAGUACUGAUGCCCAUUAGGUUAGAACGAUCAAAAAUUUGCUAAGGAUGCUGACGUAAUGGCUUUAAACGA
RNAcentral lists this ribosomal RNA (408 nucleotides) under uncultured Diversispora. RNAcentral describes it as "partial 28S ribosomal RNA". The record is from RNAcentral. Lineage: Eukaryota; Fungi; Glomeromycota; Glomeromycetes; Diversisporales; Diversisporaceae.